This 812-nucleotide ribosomal RNA is filed under the name Corynebacterium sp. HFH0078. Its description in RNAcentral is "bacterial SSU rRNA". It matches the Rfam family "Bacterial small subunit ribosomal RNA", at positions 62 to 887 of the family's 1533-position model. Lineage: Bacteria; Bacillati; Actinomycetota; Actinomycetes; Mycobacteriales; Corynebacteriaceae. The record is from RNAcentral.
UCGACGGUAAGGCUCCAGCUUGCUGGGGUACACGAGUGGCGAACGGGUGAGUAACACGUGGGUGACCUGCCCUGCACUUCGGGAUAAGCCUGGGAAACUGGGUCUAAUACCGGAUAGGACCGCACCGUGAGGGUGUGGUGGAAAGUUUUUUCGGUGUGGGAUGGGCCCGCGGCCUAUCAGCUUGUUGGUGGGGUAAUGGCCUACCAAGGCGGCGACGGGUAGCCGGCCUGAGAGGGUGGACGGCCACAUUGGGACUGAGACACGGCCCAGACUCCUACGGGAGGCAGCAGUGGGGAAUAUUGCACAAUGGGCGGAAGCCUGAUGCAGCGACGCCGCGUGGGGGAUGACGGCCUUCGGGUUGUAAACUCCUUUCACCAUCGACGAAGGGUUUCUGACGGUAGAUGGAGAAGAAGCACCGGCUAACUACGUGCCAGCAGCCGCGGUAAUACGUAGGGUGCGAGCGUUGUCCGGAAUUACUGGGCGUAAAGAGCUCGUAGGUGGUUUGUCGCGUCGUCUGUGAAAUUCCGGGGCUUAACUCCGGGCGUGCAGGCGAUACGGGCAUAACUUGAGUACUGUAGGGGAGACUGGAAUUCCUGGUGUAGCGGUGAAAUGCGCAGAUAUCAGGAGGAACACCGGUGGCGAAGGCGGGUCUCUGGGCAGUAACUGACGCUGAGGAGCGAAAGCAUGGGGAGCGAACAGGAUUAGAUACCCUGGUAGUCCAUGCCGUAAACGGUGGGCGCUAGGUGUGGGUUUCCUUCACGGGAUCCGUGCCGUAGCUAACGCAUUAAAGCGCCCGCCUGGGGAGUACGGCC